AUAUAUUUUAUUUAUUUUUUGAAGUAAGCUCUACAUCCAACAUAGGGCUUGAACUCAUGACCCCAAGAUCAAGUCACGCGCUGUACUGACUGAGCCAGCCAGGCACCCCAUCAUACUUCCUUAUUUUUGCAUUUCUACUUUAAAGAGGAGUGAUAUCUAAGAAGUGUAUCCUCAUUAUUCAUUUUACAUGGAUAAUUUGGCAACUACCACUGAAAAUAAACAAAAAGCCCUCCCUCAACCCCUCCAGAGCAGUUCUAUUUCUGGCAUCUCUUCUGUGGACUACUGGAGACAUCUUACGUUUCAUUUAAGCCCGUCUUCGUUACUCCUUUGCAAUACCAAGUUGCAGUCUCUGGCUAAGUCUUAUCUCCUUACUUCAUUUACUAUAGAUACUGGGAUACUGUUGCUCCACCUUUUCCCUAUUCUCGUUCCUAAUUAUUUUCUAGUGGCAUAAAUUUUCAUACCUGAUUGUCUUUGGAUGUAGGGGAACAGAACUUGCAGUAUUGAUUUAUCAUGUAUGUUAUUGUCUAUCCUUUCUAUGACCGUUGUUAAACAACAGUGCAAUCUUCUAUUGUCCUUCUCCACACUUCUUCACUCAGUGUUGGUUCUUCUGUUUGCACGAUGGUCCAGCUACAUGCAGUAUUUAAAACAAUUUUUAAAAGUGACAAUUCCUUACAAAACUCCAUUAACUUUUUAAAAAGAUUUUAUUUAUUUGUCAUAGAGAGCAAGCACGGGGAGUGGCAGGCAGAGGGAUUCCUGCUGAGCAGGGAGUCCCAUGCGAGACUUGAUCUCAGGACCCUGGGAUCAUGACCCAAGCUGAAGGCAGGUGCUUAACCGACUGAGCCACCCAUGGGUCCCCAUUAAUUUCUAUUUUAUAUGUGCCUGACCCUUCCCAUUGCCUGACUCACUUUUCUCUUUCUGCACUCAAUUCUGUCAGAAUGUAGCUGUUUCCCAAAGGAAGGGAUGGAGGACGGACAAAACCAAUACAUACCUGCCGCACCAUUUUCAGGGUGGGAGAAAUCUAUUUCUGAAGUCUGAUGGGGAAGAAAAAUGUUGCAUCUGUCUUUAAAAAUAAGUGGAACAUUACCUUCAACAAGAAACAUCCUAAUUAAAAGGCUUUAUUCCAAGAACUCAAAAAGAU
This 1138-nucleotide long non-coding RNA is filed under the name Ursus maritimus (polar bear). RNAcentral's name for it is "lncRNA (ENSUMAG00000017096.1)". Lineage: Eukaryota; Metazoa; Chordata; Mammalia; Carnivora; Ursidae. The record is from RNAcentral.